This 504-nucleotide ribosomal RNA is filed under the name uncultured bacterium. RNAcentral describes it as "partial 16S ribosomal RNA". It matches the Rfam family "Bacterial small subunit ribosomal RNA", at positions 29 to 523 of the family's 1533-position model. The record is from RNAcentral.
AUUGAACGCUGGCGGCAGGCCUAACACAUGCAGGUCGGACGGUAGCACAGAGAGCUUGCUCUCGGGUGACGAGUGGCGGACGGGUGAGUAAUGUCUGGGGAUCUGCCCGAUAGAGGGGGAUAACCACUGGAAACGGUGGCUAAUACCGCAUAACGUCGCAAGACCAAAGAGGGGGACCUUCGGGCCUCUCACUAUCGGAUGAACCCAGAUGGGAUUAGCUAGUAGGCGGGGUAACGGCCCACCUAGGCGACGAUCCCUAGCUGGUCUGAGAGGAGGACCAGCCACACGGGAACUGAGACACGGUCCAGACUCCUACGGGAGGCAGCAGUGGGGAAUAUUGCACAAUGGGCGCAAGCCUGAUGCAGCCAUGCCGCGUGUAUGAAGAAGGCCUUCGGGUUGUAAAGUACUUUCAGCGGGGAGGAAGGCGAUGUGGUUAAUAACCGCAUUGAUUGACGUUACCCGCAGAAGAAGCACCGGCUAACUCCGUGCCAGCCGCCGCGGUAA